RNAcentral lists this ribosomal RNA (636 nucleotides) under Sphingomonas sp. RNAcentral's name for it is "bacterial SSU rRNA". It matches the Rfam family "Bacterial small subunit ribosomal RNA", at positions 65 to 749 of the family's 1533-position model. Lineage: Bacteria; Pseudomonadati; Pseudomonadota; Alphaproteobacteria; Sphingomonadales; Sphingomonadaceae. The record is from RNAcentral.
AACGAGACUUCGGGUCUAGUGGCGCACGGGUGCGUAACGCGUGGGAAUCUGCCCUUGGGUUCGGAAUAACUCGCCGAAAGGCGUGCUAAUACCGGAUGAUGUCGUAAGACCAAAGAUUUAUCGCCCAGGGAUGAGCCCGCGUAAGAUUAGCUAGUUGGUGAGGUAAAGGCUCACCAAGGCGACGAUCUUUAGCUGGUCUGAGAGGAUGAUCAGCCACACUGGGACUGAGACACGGCCCAGACUCCUACGGGAGGCAGCAGUGGGGAAUAUUGGACAAUGGGCGAAAGCCUGAUCCAGCAAUGCCGCGUGAGUGAUGAAGGCCUUAGGGUUGUAAAGCUCUUUUACCCGGGAUGAUAAUGACAGUACCGGGAGAAUAAGCUCCGGCUAACUCCGUGCCAGCAGCCGCGGUAAUACGGAGGGAGCUAGCGUUGUUCGGAAUUACUGGGCGUAAAGCGCACGUAGGCGGCUUUGUAAGUCAGAGGUGAAAGCCUGGAGCUCAACUCCAGAACUGCCUUUGAGACUGCAUCGCUUGAAUCCAGGAGAGGUGAGUGGAAUUCCGAGUGUAGAGGUGAAAUUCGUAGAUAUUCGGAAGAACACCAGUGGCGAAGGCGGCUCACUGGACUGGUAUGACGCUGA